RNAcentral lists this ribosomal RNA (301 nucleotides) under uncultured bacterium. RNAcentral's name for it is "partial 16S ribosomal RNA". It matches the Rfam family "Bacterial small subunit ribosomal RNA", at positions 509 to 807 of the family's 1533-position model. The record is from RNAcentral.
CAGUAGCCGCGGUAAUACGUAGGUGGCAAGCGUUGUCCGGAAUUAUUGGGCGUAAAGGGCUCGCAGGCGGUUUCUUAAGUCUGAUGUGAAAGCCCCCGGCUCAACCGGGGAGGGUCAUUGGAAACUGGGAAACUUGAGUGCAGAAGAGGAGAGUGGAAUUCCACGUGUAGCGGUGAAAUGCGUAGAGAUGUGGAGGAACACCAGUGGCGAAGGCGACUCUCUGGUCUGUAACUGGCGCUGAGGAGCGAAAGCGUGGGGAGCGAACAGGAUUAGAUACCCGCGUAGUCCCUGUCUCUUAUAC